Molecule: unclassified non-coding RNA, 368 nt
Filed under: Hevea brasiliensis (rubber tree)
Lineage: Eukaryota; Viridiplantae; Streptophyta; Magnoliopsida; Malpighiales; Euphorbiaceae
Source: RNAcentral
UGAAGAGUUUUGUGCUGCUGCAAUCAGCACAUAUCAAUUGGAGGCUCUCGAGGAAUGGGAGCAGAUUGCAGCCGUGGCAUUCCAGCAUUUUGAGCAAGAGGGGAAUCGGCAUGUUUCCGUGGAGGAAUUGGCUAGGGAGUUGAAUGUGGGUCCAACUGCUCAUUCCAUUCUCAGAGAUUGGAUAAGAAAUGAUGGAAAACUCAACAUGCUUGGAUAUACAAAAUUUUUGCAUGGUGUCACUCUUCGUAGUACACCUGUGAGACGUCAUUAGCUCCUCAUCAAAAAAAUAUAUAUAUAUGAGACAUCAUUAGAUACUCUCUUUUCAAAUAGCGUUUGGCAAGUGAUAGAAAUUAACUGUUGAUUGAAAA